This 279-nucleotide long non-coding RNA is filed under the name Capsicum annuum. RNAcentral's name for it is "long non-coding RNA (CANN_LNC008860)". Lineage: Eukaryota; Viridiplantae; Streptophyta; Magnoliopsida; Solanales; Solanaceae. The record is from RNAcentral.
AGGUAACUUCAUUCAAUAAUUAAUGUUGUUAAUGAAUUUUCAGCUUUAAAUAUCAGUAACACUUUGUAAUAUGAUGAUACAAUACAUGUGGACCUUCGUGAAUCGGAGAGGAAUAAAGAAGGAGAAAAAGAGAGCAAAAUGGAUGAGUUGGACUCCGCUGUGGCAGAAGAGGAAAAAAAGAAGAAAAGAAGGAUGGAGAAAAAGAAAUGGAAGAAGAUAAGAGCCAAGAAGAAAGUAGAAAAGAAGCAGCUGCAGAGGUUGAAAAAGAAGCAGCAGCAG